RNAcentral lists this non-coding RNA (29 nucleotides) under Homo sapiens (human). The record is from RNAcentral. Lineage: Eukaryota; Metazoa; Chordata; Mammalia; Primates; Hominidae.
UAACCAUGGUUGUGGACUCUCCCUAGAAA